AUGCAUGGAAUUGUUCUCAAGUCCCGGUGCUGGGGUGAUUUUUUUGUUAGGGGAGAGCCAAGAUGUCCCCCAGAGACACACACAAAAAAAUGUCACAGUCACUAACUGUCUUCUGCAUGUGUUUUCUUCCAAGGGGUGAAACACACUACAGGGAUAGACCGAGUCAGGAAAGAUAUGCCUGGCUGAGGUGGCCACAGUGGCUUACAAAAAUAUUCAAACGUGACACAAAAAAGGAAUACACUGAAGACAAACAUGUCAAGGAGUCCUCUGCAGAGGUGGAAAUUACCAUUCAGGAUAUAUCAAGGGAGGACAAGGAAGGAACGAUGAAAACAUCAGCCACUGAAGCAGAAGAGAGUGAAGCAGCUGAGGAUGCCGAAGGCUCAGAAUGAUCUGCUGUCAU
This 400-nucleotide long non-coding RNA is filed under the name Cricetulus griseus (Chinese hamster). RNAcentral describes it as "lncRNA (ENSCGRG00015040470.1)". The record is from RNAcentral. Lineage: Eukaryota; Metazoa; Chordata; Mammalia; Rodentia; Cricetidae.